Molecule: small nucleolar RNA, 138 nt
Organism: Emys orbicularis (European pond turtle)
Lineage: Eukaryota; Metazoa; Chordata; Testudines; Emydidae
Product: small nucleolar RNA SNORA13
Exons: 1
Source: RefSeq, a predicted model, not a curated record
UGCCUUUGUGUUGCCCAUUCAUUUUUGUUAUUAAUGUUUGUGGUGUCAAGAAAGGCAUAAAAAAAAAAAGUCCUUCCGCAGCAUUAUUUGAUGUUGGCAAUUAAUCUCUCCCAUGAUUCUGCUGUAUACGGGACAGUU